CUCUUUUUAGAGCUGCCUUCGUCUCUCUCUCACUUUGAACCCUGUUUCCAUUUUCCAAUUCCAACAAACUACAGAGCGGGGAGGAUGUGCAAGCCAACGAGUAUGUAUGCAUACGGGAACGAGUCAAUGACCGACCAAGCGUUUGAAAGAAUUUAUGAGAUUUUGGAUGCUAUGACUGCAAAUCUCGGCCAAAAGAGUUAUCAAGAACUGCUGGACUUGAAGAGCGCGUUUGAGACUUUGCUGAGUAAAGUGACGGCAGCGAGGGAGAAAUUUGACCAACCCUAAAAUAUGUUGUCUGCUUUUUUUUUUUUUUAACUACUGUUGUUGUGUUCAUUGGGGUAGAAAUUAAAGUAAAUGCUGUGGUGGAUUCUGACCUAGAGAGAGAGUUGCGUGGAUUUAAAAAGUUAUGUUCCUUGUUUCAAUUUGAACUCUUUCUGCUCUUCUCUUUUAAGUAUAAAAAGUUGCGUUUU
Long non-coding RNA from Camelina sativa (false flax), 470 nucleotides. RefSeq lists it as uncharacterized. The record is from RefSeq and is a predicted model, not a curated record. Lineage: Eukaryota; Viridiplantae; Streptophyta; Magnoliopsida; Brassicales; Brassicaceae.